RNAcentral lists this ribosomal RNA (1067 nucleotides) under uncultured soil eukaryote. RNAcentral's name for it is "SSU rRNA". It matches the Rfam family "Eukaryotic small subunit ribosomal RNA", at positions 14 to 990 of the family's 1831-position model. The record is from RNAcentral.
CUGCCAGUAGUCAUAUGCUUGUCUCAAAGAUUAAGCCAUGCAUGUCUAAGUAUAAGCAUUUUAUACAGCGAAACUGCGAAUGGCUCAUUACAUCAGUUAUAGUUUAUUUGAUAGUUACUGCUACAUGGAUACCGUGUGGUAAUUCUAGAGCUAAUACAUGCACCAGAGCCCGACUGGCAACGGAAGGGUUGUAUUUAUUAGACACAAAACCAAUGCAGGGGCGUCAGCUCCUGGGAGUUGGUGAGUCAUAGUAACUGCGCGAAUCGCAUGCCCUCGUGGCGGCGAUGAUUCAUUCAAAUUUCUGCCCUAUCAACUGUCGAUGUCAGGAUAGAGGCCUGACAUGGUUAUAACGGGUAACGGAGAAUUAGGGUUCGGUUCCGGAGAGGGAGCCUGAGAGAUGGCUACCACUUCUAAGGAAGGCAGCAGGCGCGCAAAUUACCCAAUCCUGAUACAGGGAGGUAGUGACAAGAAAUAACAAUACAGGUCCCAAUACGGGCCUUGUAAUUGGAAUGAGUACAAUUUAAACCCCUUAAUGAGUAACAAUUGGAGGGCAAGUCUGGUGCCAGCAGCCGCGGUAAUUCCAGCUCCAAUAGCAUAUAUUAAAUUUGUUGCAGUUAAAAAGCUCGUAGUUGGAUUUUGGAAUAGGGAACAACCGGUCUGCCGGUUGGUAUGCACUGUUGUUCCCAUUCUCAUCUGAUGGAAACUUAUCUCUACUCUUAAAUGAGCGGAGAGUAGAUCAGUGAGAAUAAUACUGAGUUAAAUAUCUUUUGAUAUUUAAUUUCAUGUUAUUCAAUCACUCCUACUUUUGUAAGUUCCAUCUCAUUUACUUUGAAUAAAUUAGAGUGUUUAAAGCAGGCGAUUUUUUGCCAUUGAAUACAUUAGCAUGGGAUAAUAGAAUAAGACUUCAGUUCUAUUUUCUAUUGGUUUUUAGAACUGAAGUAAUGAUUAAUAGGGAUAGUUGGGGACAUUGGUAUUUAAUUGUCAGAGGUGAAAUUCUUGGAUUUAUGAAAGACUAACUUCUGCGAAAGCAUUUGUCAAGGAUGUUUUCAUUAAUCAAGAACGAAAGU